CGACAAUCUUACCNCUCCUUGUAUAAUAAAUAUUUUCCUUAAGGGAUUGUUUUGACUUUGAGGAACUUUAAUUAAAUAAUAACAUAUAUACUUAUGAUAAGUCUUUAAACUUACUUAUAUAUAUUUGUAAUACGUCAUCUAAACUUAUAUUAAUAAUAAUUCAAUAGUUAUUAUUGAAUCGAUGACAUAAUUGUUGUUAAUGUGAUGGAUAGUAAUAAUAAUUAAAUAUUGUUAUGGGUGUGAGUAACAUUAGUAAUAAUAACUAAUUAUUACCAUUAUAAACCACAGUAAUAAUAAUUGAUUAAAUAAUUAAAUGGAAUGAAUGAUUAAGCAAUUAGUAAUUCAUUAAUAUUUAUUACAGGUGUUGCAUGGCUGUCUUUAGUUCGUGUUGUGAAAUGUUAGGUUAAUUCCGAAAACGAACGCAAUCCUUAUCUUUAUUUAAAACUAUAUAAAGAGGUAUCUUUCCAUAAGAAGGAAUAAUUAGGGUGAAGACAAGUCCUCAUGACCCUUAUGGAGUGGGCUACAGACGUGCCACAAAUAUUUCUACAAAGGGAAGCAAAGAUGAAAGUCUGAGCUAAUCCUCAAAAGAAAUAAAAGUACGGAUNAGANNC
RNAcentral lists this ribosomal RNA (611 nucleotides) under Pneumocystis carinii. Its description in RNAcentral is "SSU rRNA". The stretch from base 312 to 512 matches the Rfam family "Bacterial small subunit ribosomal RNA", at positions 984 to 1205 of the family's 1533-position model. Lineage: Eukaryota; Fungi; Ascomycota; Pneumocystomycetes; Pneumocystales; Pneumocystaceae. The record is from RNAcentral.